Molecule: ribosomal RNA, 491 nt
Filed under: uncultured bacterium
Lineage: Bacteria
Description: partial 16S ribosomal RNA
Rfam family: Bacterial small subunit ribosomal RNA
Source: RNAcentral
AGUGAACGCUGGCGGUAGGCCUAACACAUGCAAGUCGAACGGCAGCACAGUAAGAGCUUGCUCUUACGGGUGGCGAGUGGCGGACGGGUGAGGAAUACAUCGGAAUCUACUUUUUCGUGGGGGAUAACGUAGGGAAACUUACGCUAAUACCGCAUACGACCUACGGGUGAAAGCAGCGGAUCUUCGGACCUUGCGCGAUUGAAUGAGCCGAUGUCGGAUAAGCUAGUUGGCGGGGUAAAGGCCCACCAAGGCGACGAUCCGUAGCUGGUCUGAGAGGAGGACAGGCCAAACUGGAACUGAGACACGGGCCAGACUCCUAGGGGAGGCAGCAGUGGGGAAUUUGGGACAAGGGGCGCAAGCCUGAUCAAGCCAGACCGCGGGGGGGAAGAAGGCCUUCGGGUUGUAAAGCCCUUUUGUUGGGAAAGAAAGGCAGCAGGUUAAUACCCCGCUGUUCUGACGGUACCCAAAGAAUAAGCACCGGCUAACUUCGU